Molecule: long non-coding RNA, 481 nt
Organism: Arabidopsis thaliana (thale cress)
Lineage: Eukaryota; Viridiplantae; Streptophyta; Magnoliopsida; Brassicales; Brassicaceae
Product: other RNA
Exons: 1
Source: RefSeq
CUGAUAUUGAUGAUAUUAAUAGGGGUUUAUUUUGCUAUGUUUGGAGUGCAAGAUGAUGAUACACUUUUGACCUAGUCCUUCAAAGAAGCCUUUAGUUUGAGAUAGCAAACAAGUGAAAGUUUUUUUGUUGUAACCAUAUUGUUUUGCUUUUGAAAGAUGAUAAAGAAUAUUUUCAUACUGUCCCUCCUUCAACAAGUUUAGUACUUAUUCUCUCUACACACUAUAAAAUUACUGGAGGGUCCCAUUUUUUCUUAACAUUCUUUGAUUAGCACAAAACCUUUGGCCCCUCCAUGCCUCUGUUUUAUUAUGUUUGUAGCCUUUCCUGUCUCAUCUAAUAACAAUUAUCUCUCCGGUCCAUGUGAGUGUGUCUAUAUUUUCAUUCAUUUAUAGAAGUGAAACAUUACUGCAUCUAUUGCUUGGCAACUUUCUCACACUGUAUAUUUCAUGCAACUAUUUCGAUGAUGUCUUCAGUUUUCGAGUU